Molecule: long non-coding RNA, 2379 nt
Filed under: Schizosaccharomyces pombe (fission yeast)
Lineage: Eukaryota; Fungi; Ascomycota; Schizosaccharomycetes; Schizosaccharomycetales; Schizosaccharomycetaceae
Source: RNAcentral
CUUCAGGAGGAACUUGGCUUGGCAAUGUCGGUCCCACCGUACCCAAAUUUUGAAAUUCUUCCCUUUUUUUUGCAAACAAUACAAGAUUUUUUAUAGCAGAAGGUUCAACCGUACUCAGCUUUACUUUUUCUCGAAAAAAAUCGACUCCAUGUUUAUCACUACAAUAGUUGGAAUUAGGUCUUGUGGGAUUCGAGCAUUCUCGUAACCGGCAUUUUCUUUUCCAAGUAGUUAUACCCUUUCCUUCUUCUGUGCAUUUAGGACAAAAGUACUGUACAGUUAAAUCAUUAUAAGAUUCAGGUAUAUUAACGCAAGUGCCAUGAAACCAAUCUUCGCAACCAUCACAUCCUAACAUCCAUGAUCCAUCAUCAGGCUUUUGGCAUAUACAAUACAAUGGUCUUUGAUGAUCGGCUGUAGACAGAUUGAGUUGGCUAUUCGCAUUUCCUCGGUGUUUUCGUGGACCCCUUCUAUGAGCUGAUACGGGUGGUUUUUUGGGUAUUGUAGGCUGUUGAAUGACUUGCAUUUCUAUGUCUGUUUCCGUUGAGGAAGAAUCAACGUGACCGUUGACUUCUUCAACCUCCAUUUUAACAGAUUUAUUGAGAAUUACGUUGGCGUCUUUCUCUUCCUCAUUGUUAGCUGUCUCGAUAUGAAAAUCAGUAAUGGUGCCUCUAUUCGAAUCCUCAAAUUUUACAAUUGAUUCUACAUGAGUUUUUUCAUUUUCCUCAGUAUUCUCUUGCGUUAAUUCCAUUAUUGGAAUUUCAGUUGUCUAAGUCUGUCAAUAAGUAAAAUCUAAAGAAAGCGAGCUUAAGCACAGUACACUAAAUGCAUUAAAAGGAACUACAAGCCAAACCAAAAUACAAAAGAAAUGGGGUCUGUCAAAACAAGUUGAAAUUUAAACAAGUCGUAUAUUAAUAUCAAGCUUAAUUAAAGGAGACAAUUAUUUCAACCUUGACGGACGAACUAACCAUGCCUAUAUAACUCACAGAGGUUACUGCGGUAUCUUCAAGAAGAUUAAACAAAAAAAAAAAAAAAGGAAAGAACGCAAAUACACCAAAUAAUAAAUAUUUUUAGCCCAGAUAAUCUCAUCCAAGACAAUCACUAAUGUAGCAGAAUUGGAUAGAAAACAAGACAAAACUGCAAAAGAAGAUUCCAUUAAAUUUCGUGAAAUUAAAUCAAAUACUCAUAAACACCCAAAUAUUAACCCAAUUUGCGAAGGCCAGCUCGUGUUCUGUGUAGCUUUUUUUGGUUUGCAUAUGCUUCAUUAGAAAGCUCGUCUAACAUGGAGUUUUGCUCGACAACUUCUUGAUUAAUCAUUUUCGAAAGCUCCUUCUGCCUUUGAAUAAUAGGCAAUAACGAUUCUGCUUGCAUAUCUUGAUCUUCCAUAGUUUGAUUCUGCAUGUUGUACAGUCCUACAUUAUCAAGCUUUUUUGUUGUCUGUGUCUCUGGCAUUCUGUUUUUUCCAAGGACUCUGUUCAAAGAGGUAUUAGAUUGUUUGUCAGUAGAUGCAGAUAAUGGGCGAAAGGGAGAACUAGGAUUAGAAGAGUUUAAUUGAGAUGAGGCAGAAGGAGGAGCGACUGGGCUGUUUGCAUUUUUAACUAACCGUUUAAAUGACAAGAAUUCAGAACCAAGCUGUUCUAACAUAUCUUUUCGUCGAAGGAUUUCUCCUGGACCAAGAGCAUUUGCUAAUUCUAAUUUGUCUAACGAUUCUGAAAGGUUAUCCAUUAGCGACUUUAUUGCAUAGACAUUCUUUGUUUGAACUCCUAUCGUAAUGCUUUUUCCACUCAUUAAGUCAACUCGGUACAUAUGUAAAUUACGUUUACAAUCUUGAAAUACUUGAAUCCAAUCUGUCGGACCCAAAAACUGACCCUGUGUUUCAUCUUCCGAUUCAUCUUUAAUAUUUAGAAAUUUUUUAACCACAGGCAUUUUUAUCCAUGGCGUUUCUGAAAGGCAUUGAACGUAAGCUUGUAAAGCAAGUCGUCGAGAUUCACGUAACUUUUCAUUUGUCACAGUUGAAGAAACCCAAGAUUUAGAGGGGAGUUUGCAAAGUCUACUGUUGUAGUCAUUUGGCCGAAUUUGAGCAUCCAAAGCAACGAAUUCAUUGAACCGACGAAAUACAACAUGUUUCCCACCAUUCGGAAAUGCUACUUCAAUAUGGUAAACCGUCCAUCGUGAAUAUUCAUCAGAAGACUAGUUGUAAGUAAAAAUUAAAGGAAUAAAGCUUACUUGAGACGUUUCUGGUAUUUUAAUUUUUAGCGCCAUACUUGCUAUGAACAGGUUGAUCAACAAUGAGUUCAUGAACAACAGACUACUGUAUCGGAUUUACUGCACUAUCGUUAUAAAACUGUAUAAUGUAGAAUUUGAGCUUUCAAAUAGUAUAGGUUC